UAGGUAGGAGUCGGCGACCCGGUGGGUAUGCCGAUAGCACACGUAUCCGCAUCCGGUAUGACCGGUAUGCGUGCAGGUGGAGACCUUGUUGCAAGAAUGC
Methanohalobium evestigatum Z-7303 is the source of this 100-nucleotide regulatory RNA element. It matches the Rfam family "Pyrrolysine insertion sequence mtbB". NCBI's taxonomy places the organism in Archaea, Methanobacteriati, Methanobacteriota, Methanomicrobia, Methanosarcinales, Methanosarcinaceae. The record is from Rfam.